CCUACGGGAGGCAGCAGUGGGGAAUAUUGGACAAUGGGGGCAACCCUGAUCCAGCCAUGCCGCGUGUGUGAAGAAGGCCCUCGGGUUGUAAAGCACUUUCAGUGAGGAAGAACGCCUGGUGGUUAAUACCCAUCAGGAAAGACAUCACUCACAGAAGAAGCACCGGCUAACUCCGUGCCAGCAGCCGCGGUAAUACGGAGGGUGCGAGCGUUAAUCGGAAUUACUGGGCGUAAAGCGCGCGUAGGUGGCUUGAUAAGCCGGUUGUGAAAGCCCCGGGCUCAACCUGGGAACGGCAUCCGGAACUGUCAAGCUAGAGUGCAGGAGAGGAAGGUAGAAUUCCCGGUGUAGCGGUGAAAUGCGUAGAGAUCGGGAGGAAUACCAGUGGCGAUGGCGGCCUUCUGGACUGACACUGACACUGAGGUGCGAAAGCGUGGGUAGCAAACAGGAUUAGAUACCCUAGUAGUC
This 465-nucleotide ribosomal RNA is filed under the name Vreelandella stevensii. RNAcentral's name for it is "partial 16S ribosomal RNA". It matches the Rfam family "Bacterial small subunit ribosomal RNA", at positions 338 to 795 of the family's 1533-position model. The record is from RNAcentral. Lineage: Bacteria; Pseudomonadati; Pseudomonadota; Gammaproteobacteria; Oceanospirillales; Halomonadaceae.